RNAcentral lists this ribosomal RNA (497 nucleotides) under uncultured bacterium. RNAcentral describes it as "partial 16S ribosomal RNA". It matches the Rfam family "Bacterial small subunit ribosomal RNA", at positions 28 to 507 of the family's 1533-position model. The record is from RNAcentral.
GAUGAACGCUGGCGGCGUGCCUAAUACAUGCAAGUCGAGCGAGCAGACGAGGAGCUUGCUCCUCUGACGUUAGCGGCGGACGGGUGAGUAACACGUGGAUAACCUACCUAUAAGACUGGGAUAACUUCGGGAAACCGGAGCUAAUACCGGAUAAUAUAUUGAACCGCGUGGUUCAAUAGUGAAAGACGGUUUUGCUGUCACUUAUAGAUGGAUCCGCGCCGCAUUAGCUAGUUGGUAAGGUAACGGCUUACCAAGGCAACGAUGCGUAGCCGACCUGAGAGGGUGAUCGGCCACACUGGAACUGAGACACGGUCCAGACUCCUACGGGAGGCAGCAGUAGGGAAUCUUCCGCAAAGGGCGAAAGCCUGACGGAGCAACGCCGCGUGAGUGAUGAAGGUCUUCGGAUCGUAAAACUCUGUUAUUAGGGAAGAACAAAUGUGUAAGUAACUAUGCACGUCUUGACGGUACCUAAUCAGAAAGCCACGGCUAACUACGUG